GACGAACGCUGGCGGCGUGCUUAACACAUGCAAGUCGAACGGAAAGGCCUCUUCGGAGGUACUCGAGUGGCGAACGGGUGAGUAACACGUGGGUGAUCUGCCCUGCACUCUGGGAUAAGCCUGGGAAACUGGGUCUAAUACCGGAUAGGACCAUGCUUUAGUGUGUGUGGUGGAAAGUUUUUUCGGUGUAGGAUGAGCCCGCGGCCUAUCAGCUUGUUGGUGGGGUAAUGGCCUACCAAGGCGGCGACGGGUAGCCGGACUGAGAGGUUGGUCGGCCACAUUGGGACUGAGAUACGGCCCAGACUCCUACGGGAGGCAGCAGUGGGGAAUAUUGCACAAUGGGCGCAAGCCUGAUGCAGCGACGCCGCGUGGGGGAUGACGGCCUUCGGGUUGUAAACUCCUUUCGCCAGGGACGAAGCGUUUGGUGACGGUACCUGGAGAAGAAGCACCGGCUAACUACGUGCCAGCAGCCGCGGUAAUACGUAGGGUGCAAGCGUUGUCCGGAAUUAUUGGGCGUAAAGCGAGCGCAGGCGGUCAAUUAAGUCUGAUGUGAAAGCCCCCGGCUCAACCGGGGAGGGUCAUUGGAAACUGGUUGACUUGAGUGCAGAAGAGGAGAGUGGAAUUCCAUGUGUAGCGGUGAAAUGCGUAGAUAUAUGGAGGAACACCAGUGGCGAAGGCGACUCUCUGGUCUGUAACUGACGCUGAGGCUCGAAAGCGUGGGUAGCAAACAGGAUUAGAUACCCUGGUAGUCCACGCCGUAAACGAUGAGUGCUAAGUGUUGGAGGGUUUCCACCCUUCAGUGCUGCAGUUAACGCAUUAAGCACUCCGCCUGGGGAGUACGACCGCAAGGUUGAAACUCAAAGGAAUUGACGGGGACCCGCACAAGCGGUGGAGCAUGUGGUUUAAUUCGAAGCAACGCGAAGAGCCUUACCAAGUCUUGACAUACUGUGAGGACACAAGAGAUUGUGUUGUUCUGACCUUUGGUUAGACACAGAUACAGGUGGUGCAUGGUUGUCGUCAGCUCGUGUCGUGAGAUGUUGGGUUAAGUCCCGCAACGAGCGCAACCCUUAUAUCUAGUUGCCAGCAGUAAGAUGGGGACUCUAGAUAGACUGCCAGUGAUAAACUGGAGGAAGGUGGGGAUGACGUCAAAUCAUCAUGCCCCUUAUGACUUGGGCUACACACGUGCUACAAUGGAUAGGAACAAAGAGAAGCGAGCUCGCGAGAGUAAGCAAACCUCACAAAACUAUUCUCAGUUCGGAUUGUAGUCUGCAACUCGACUACAUGAAGCUGGAAUCGCUAGUAAUCGCGAAUCGGAAUGUCGCGGUGAAUACGUUCCCGGGUCU
This 1343-nucleotide ribosomal RNA is filed under the name uncultured bacterium. Its description in RNAcentral is "bacterial SSU rRNA". It matches the Rfam family "Bacterial small subunit ribosomal RNA", at positions 28 to 1381 of the family's 1533-position model. The record is from RNAcentral.